GUAGGCUUAGUCUUUUUAUCUGUGUGGCCUAAACGUACGCAGGGCCUAAAAGGAAUACACGGAAAUCCUACAAAACCCACAGCUUUUAUUUGAGAAAUAAAACAGGCUAAUACAUCUUUUUUUGGUGUGUUGGUUACACUAGUCUCAGCAGUCAAGUCAGGAAGUCCUGCCUAUCACUCACAGUGAUAUUUGUUUACCCUUAUCUGGUCUCAGUGAUGAGUGAAAGUAGCGGCCAUGGAGAGCCAAAACGCUAGCCACAUUAUUCCUUGAUUAUUUACUCUCUCCCGUCCCCUGCUCCAGCAUGAGCGCUACCUUAAAAGGACUCCCAUAGCAGUGUCACUUUGGUGUCGUAGUGCACAAUGGCUGUGAUUAAUGUGAUCUCUGCAGGCCUCAGAGGAGGUCAGAGGAACAGGGUGUGGUGUGGUGGUUUCCAUACAUGUCCUGUUUUAGUUUGGACUUUUGACCUUUUUGUAAUUAUGUCAGUUAUGAGUGAAUCAAAGCACAUACGUAUUUGUGCAUAACAUUUGCAGAAUUUACAAAAUGUUAAUAAUUUAAAAAUAAAUAAAUAAGAGGGAUCAUAAAGAUUGCAUUUUGUUUUUACUGAGUACUGCCCUGAAUAAGCUAUUUCCCAUAACAGAUGUUUACAUUAUUUUGUCUUCUGGGAAACAUGUAAAUAUCUUAUGUAACUUCUGAAGGGCAGUACUAAAUGAAAAAAAUAAGAUCAUUCUGCUCAAAAGUUUUUUAAUGUAACGUGUUGCCUUCUUGAGGAUCAGUGAAUGUUUGCACCUUAUGUUAUAGUUGUGUACGAGUCCCUCAGUUGUCCUCUGUGUGAAAAGAUAGAUCUCAACAUCAUAUAGUCACUGCUGGAAAGGGUUCAAAUAUGCAGAAUAUUCUGGAAAAGUAAAGAAUGUGCAGGACCUGGAGGAUUUUUCUGAAGAACAGUGGACAGUUUAACUUCUCAGGACUAACAAGGGACUCAUGAACAACUAUCACAAAACAUAAAAACAGUCGUUGAUCAUCCAGGUAACGACACACGGGAUUAAGAAUCAAGCGUAUGUAAACUUUUGAACUGGUUCAUUUGUGUAAAUUCAGUUAUUAUUGUGUCUUGUGGACUAUAUGUAAACUUUUGAACUGGUUCAUUUGUGUAAAUUCAGUUAUUAUUGUGUCUUGUGGACUAUAUGUAAACAUGUUAUGUGAAAUAGCUUAUUCAGGGCAGGACUAAAUUUAAAAAAAA
Long non-coding RNA from Ictalurus punctatus (channel catfish), 1234 nucleotides. NCBI's taxonomy places the organism in Eukaryota, Metazoa, Chordata, Actinopteri, Siluriformes, Ictaluridae. The record is from Ensembl.